UACGUAGGCGGGGCAAUAAGUCAGUGGUGAAAUCCUGCAGCUUAACUGUAGAACUGCCAUUGAUACUGUUGCCCUUGAGUAUAGUUGAAGUGGGCGGAAUAUGUAAUGUAGCGGUGAAAUGCAUAGAGAUUACAUAGAACACCAAUUGCGAAGGCAGCUCACUAAGCUAUCACUGACGCUGAGGCACGAAAGCGUGGGGAGCGAACAGGAUUAGAUACCCUGGUAGUCC
RNAcentral lists this ribosomal RNA (229 nucleotides) under uncultured bacterium. RNAcentral describes it as "partial 16S ribosomal RNA". It matches the Rfam family "Bacterial small subunit ribosomal RNA", at positions 568 to 796 of the family's 1533-position model. The record is from RNAcentral.